AUGUCAUGUUGAGGGCAGCUUGUGCACAAUUGAUUGAAUCUUUCCCAAUAUUCAUAUAGCUCUUCAUAAUCCUUUUACUUAAUGCAAAUGAUCUCUCUUCUGAUGCC
Molecule: small nucleolar RNA, 107 nt
Organism: Manihot esculenta (cassava)
Lineage: Eukaryota; Viridiplantae; Streptophyta; Magnoliopsida; Malpighiales; Euphorbiaceae
Source: RefSeq, a predicted model, not a curated record